GUGCUUGCUUCAGCAGCACAUAUACGAAAAUUGGAAUUAUACAGAGAAGACUAGCAUGGCCCCUGUGCAUGUAGAAAUAGAAGUAUAAUGAUGUACACCUAAAAUUU
This is a small nuclear RNA of Diceros bicornis minor, 107 nucleotides long. The record is from RefSeq and is a predicted model, not a curated record. Lineage: Eukaryota; Metazoa; Chordata; Mammalia; Perissodactyla; Rhinocerotidae.